UGGGGAAUUUUCCGCAAUGGGCGAAGGCCUGACGGAGCAAUGCCGCGUGGAGGUGGAAGGCCUACGGGUCGUCAACUUCUUUUCUCGGAGAAGAAACAAUGACGGUAUCUGAGGAAUAAGCAUCGGCUAACUCUGUGCCAG
Molecule: ribosomal RNA, 141 nt
Filed under: uncultured bacterium
Lineage: Bacteria
Description: partial 16S rRNA
Rfam family: Bacterial small subunit ribosomal RNA
Source: RNAcentral